Molecule: ribosomal RNA, 257 nt
Filed under: uncultured prokaryote
Description: partial 16S ribosomal RNA
Rfam family: Bacterial small subunit ribosomal RNA
Source: RNAcentral
UACGGAGGAUGCAAGCGUUAUCCGGAUUUAUUGGGUUUAAAGGGUGCGUAGGCGGGCUAUUAAGUCAGUGGUGAAAUCCUGCAGCUUAACUGCAGAACUGCCGUUGAUACUGAUAGUCUUGAGUUUGGUUAAGGUAGGCGGAAUGUGUAAUGUAGCGGUGAAAUGCUUAGAUAUUACACAGAACACCAAUUGCGUAGGCAGCUUACUGAGCCGACACUGACGCUGAGGCACGAAAGCGUGGGGAUCAAACAGGAUUA